This is a long non-coding RNA of Bos taurus (domestic cattle), 632 nucleotides long. NCBI's taxonomy places the organism in Eukaryota, Metazoa, Chordata, Mammalia, Artiodactyla, Bovidae. The record is from Ensembl.
UCUGUGGUCAUGGCAUGUGGUCAAAGCUCAAAAGACUGGUCUUCGUUGCGGCACCCAGGAUCUUCACUGUGGCAAGGCUCGCAGGCUUCUCUCUAGUUUUGGUGUGAGGGCUCAGUAGGUGCUUUUGGCCCUUCUUACAGUGGAAAUUCCCAGAGGGAAGGAGGGACAGGAUUGGCAGAUGAUGAGGGUCCCUAAAACCCAGCACACUGGUGUACACAGUUUGUAUGAACCCCCUGGCCCAUCGAAGGGCCUCCCCUAAGUGCUCAUGGCAGCUUCAGGAUGGCAGCAAGUCCAUUUCAUGGAUGAGAAGACCAUGGCCCAGGGUGCUGAAGGCAUUCGCCUAUGGUCACCCAGCUAGAUUGUGCCAAGACUGGAGCCCAGGCCUGGCUGGUUCCAGGUCAGCCUUUUCUAUUGCUCCUGGAGGCACCCCAGCAGCAUCCACCUGACCAGCUCCUCGUCCGGACAAAGCAAAUGAGCUCCCAGAACUGAGAACCUGGUUUUACAUCUGUGCAGCUCCUAUUACAUGGGAUUCAAAUUCAGCUGCUGCCACCCAAGCUGCCAGCUUCCGGAUUCUCUGAGAGGAAGGCUGGGGAGCCGAGGGAGGCGGGCAUAUGUCUUAGUCUGUUUGGGCU